GCAGAAGUACCCAAGUGGUUGAAGGGUCCGGUCUUGAAAACCGGUAGGUCGUGCGAGCGGCGCCUGGGUUCGAAUCCCAGCUUCUGCGCCA
Molecule: transfer RNA, 91 nt
Filed under: Chlamydia trachomatis
Lineage: Bacteria; Pseudomonadati; Chlamydiota; Chlamydiia; Chlamydiales; Chlamydiaceae
Also listed under: 1 other name
Description: tRNA-Ser(tga)
Rfam family: tRNA
About the family: Transfer RNA (tRNA) molecules are approximately 80 nucleotides in length. Their secondary structure includes four short double-helical elements and three loops (D, anti-codon, and T loops).
Source: RNAcentral